Molecule: ribosomal RNA, 404 nt
Filed under: uncultured prokaryote
Description: bacterial SSU rRNA
Rfam family: Bacterial small subunit ribosomal RNA
Source: RNAcentral
GGAGGAAUAUUGGGCAAUGGGGGAAACCCUGACCCAGCAACGCCGCGUGAAGGAAGAAGGCCUUCGGGUUGUAAACUUCUGUGACAGGGGACGAAAAAAUGACGGUACCCUGAGAGGAAGCCACGGCAAACUACGUGCCAGCAGCCGCGGUAAUACGUAGGUGGCGAGCGUUGUCCGGAAUCACUGGGCGUAAAGGGCGCGUAGGCGGUUUAGCAAGUCGCAUGUGAAAUACCAGAGCUUAACUUUGGGGGUGCGUGCGAAACUGCUGGACUUGAGUGCAGUAGAGGUAAGCGGAAUUCCUGGUGUAGCGGUAAAAUGCGUAGAGAUCAGGAGGAACACCGGUGGCGAAGGCGGCUUACUGGGCUGCAACUGACGCUGAGGCGCGAAAGCGUGGGGAGCAAACA